RNAcentral lists this long non-coding RNA (358 nucleotides) under Mus pahari (shrew mouse). RNAcentral's name for it is "RIKEN cDNA 9130204K15 gene (MGP_PahariEiJ_G0004636.1)". The record is from RNAcentral. Lineage: Eukaryota; Metazoa; Chordata; Mammalia; Rodentia; Muridae.
AGUGAACAGUCCUUUUCUGUGGCCUGAGGAUCAAGAUGUAGAACCCUCAGUUCCUCCAGCACCAUGCCUGCCUGGACACUACCAUGCUUCCUGCCGAGAUAACGGACUGCACCUCUGAAACUGUAAGCCAGCCCCAGUUAAAUGUUGCCCUUAUAGGAGUUGCAUUGGUCAUGGUGUCUCUUCAUAGCAAUAAAACCCUAACUAAGAUACUACGGUUGCUAUGGUUGUCACUGACAAAUGGGAGCCGAUUGGAGUGUCAACCCUGGCUGCCUGAGGGGUCACAUCACAGAAUGUCCUUAGUCCCCGAGGCCCAGGAAUGUUCCCCUCCACCCUCUCUGGGGGGGAUGAUCUUGCUGCA